GAACGGGUUGAGCAAUGAAUACAUGGGAAUGGAUACCACAAGCACAGCCUUUCAGGAUGUGUGGAAUAUACCAGAGAACAUCUGAUAGGCUCAAUCCAAGAUUGAGUCUUGCAAGGCUUUUUAGAUGAUUGAACAUGCACAGAAGAGGUAUAUAUUUUUUGAAUAUUGAGUGUACAUCAUGUACUUCUUUGUACAAUGAAGAUACACAGGAGAAUCACAUGAAGAAGAGGUCGUGGAAAUGAGCACACAGUGAAACAGUGGCUGGCUGCACGGCAGAAAACGAUCAUGCUGGCACCUUGCUCUUGGACUUUUUACGUCUAGAACUAUAAAAUACAUUUCUGUCAUUCAAGCAACCCAGCCUGUGGCAUUUGUUUUGGCAGUCCCUACUGACUAAGACGGGCAUAUAUAAAUGUUCUGUGCAAGAUGACUUGGCCUGCUUCGGAGAAAGAAGGCCAGUGUGGUUAGCAUGCUGCGUCUAAGAGGAGACACGGGGUUUGAAAUGAGGCUGGGGAUUCAGGCAGGGCUGAGUCCAUUCACGUUCUUGAACACCGCUUUAAGAAGAUGGCUCUUAGCCAUCUAAUUAGGCUAAUCCUCCGCCUUGCGGUGCCGGCACACCAGGUUCUAGUCCUGGUCGGGGCGCCAGAUUCUGUCCCGGUUGCCCCUCUUCCAGACCAGCUCUCUGCUGUGGCCAGGGAGUGCAGUGGAGGAUGGCCCAAGUGCUUGGGCCCUGCACCCCAUGGGAGACCAGGAGAAGUACCUGGCUCCUGCCAUUGGAUCAGCGC
Non-coding RNA from Oryctolagus cuniculus (rabbit), 782 nucleotides. The record is from RefSeq and is a predicted model, not a curated record. NCBI's taxonomy places the organism in Eukaryota, Metazoa, Chordata, Mammalia, Lagomorpha, Leporidae.